Long non-coding RNA from Mustela putorius furo (domestic ferret), 354 nucleotides. The record is from Ensembl. NCBI's taxonomy places the organism in Eukaryota, Metazoa, Chordata, Mammalia, Carnivora, Mustelidae.
GGCCUGACUGCAAAAUCUUACCUCUCCCCUCUGCACUGGUGCAGAAUUACAACAUCUGUCUCCUCACAGAAUUUGAGGUGACAGACAGUCCAGCUCUGGGGGCAGAAGAAGAAAGAUGCGUGGAAAUGCAAACAGAAGGUUAAGUAUGGAAAUUUCUAUUGAACAAGAGCUGCAAACACCAUCCACCACGAGGACGAGAGUGACUACUACAGCUACUUGUUGGAAAGCACUCCCAGGCAGACACUCUCGAUGGAUGGGAACUGGCACAUGAGAUUAAACACAUUCCAUGGGGAAAGCUGAGUGGAAGGAAGUACGAUGGUGAGUACGGCAUAAACUAGCUCUUCAAAAGAGAAA